UUUCAAUGAAUUCCCUCUCUUGGGAAGGCCCAGCAGAAAAAGUCUGUUUCUGCCACGUUGGUGUACUUUCCUGGGGCCACGAGGAAAAUCAUUCUAACCAAGCCUCUGAGUACCUGGGCAAUAAUGUGAGGCACAUUUCCCUGGCUGGAGUGUCACCAUAGCAACCAUAGAGACAGCGGGAUGCUCAGCCUGGGCAUGUGUUUCUUCUACAAGGAAGUCAUGAGCCCAAUGUACUGUUGCCUAGACAGGAAAGCUUUCCUCUGGGGGCUGUGGGGAGGAUUCUGUUGCGGUUCUUCCUUUUGCUUAGGCAUGUGGUAGCCCUGAAUUUGAAUCUUCAUCUCAGCUCUCCCCAAGCCAUUCCAGCCACCGUUGAAGCCUUUACUCUCCACAAAACCAGCCUUGAAGACAACAGGUUCCUAAAAGGAUUCCCAGUGUGCUUAGGCAUCCAGCCAUCUGCCUUACAAGGGUAUUGUUGGAGGGACUGUCUGUCUUCCCGUGCUUGGAGCAGAGGCAGGGGGCGGGGGUUAAGACAUCAAAUGGAAAGGUUUCAUGUGUAGGGUUUAGAGCUCAUGAAAUGGUGAUAAUAGAGGAAGAUGGGAGGAAAGAAGAACGCAGGCAUAAACAAGUUUUUCCACUGCUUGCUAAAUCAAUUCUUCUUUGGCCACCUUGACUCCAGUCCUUACCCUAAGAACUGACUUAGCUAGAGAGGCAUUCCCUCUCAGGAUGUGAAAACCUCCAGCCUGGACUGUAAGGUGCCUUCAAGUCCAUGGCGUAUUCGGACGGAAGAGCCUUACUUCAUCGUAAUUGCAGAUUUCCAGAAAAAUGAAGUAAAAUCAUCUAUAGAAGCAGGCAUCAUCCGGGCCAAUUCUGUGCAUGUGACUGAACAAAUUGCCUUUCAUGUCUGUUGUACAUUUUGCUAUGAUUUUACUUUUCUGAGACAUUCGUUUUCUCCUGUCUUGAACAUG
This 965-nucleotide long non-coding RNA is filed under the name Mus musculus (house mouse). RNAcentral describes it as "Blnc1". The record is from RNAcentral. Lineage: Eukaryota; Metazoa; Chordata; Mammalia; Rodentia; Muridae.